This 2036-nucleotide long non-coding RNA is filed under the name Papio anubis (olive baboon). RNAcentral describes it as "lncRNA (ENSPANG00000043968.1)". Lineage: Eukaryota; Metazoa; Chordata; Mammalia; Primates; Cercopithecidae. The record is from RNAcentral.
GGAGGACACAAUUUACAGAUUGUAUAGGAUUUAAACUUGUAAUGAGUAAAAGUGUCACUGCUUGAAUUUUUUCAGAGUCAGGAAGCUCAUCAUAUUCUGUAGCAGACUAUACUAUUUUUUAGACAUUUUCAAUAGUUAAAAACUCAUUUUUAUAAAGAAAACAAUUGGCCUUUUAAUGUAAUUUGAACUUUGUGUUUUUUGACUAACAUUCAAUGUUUCUAAUUGUCAUAAGGAAUUUUUCAAGUGAUUACCACUUCGUUUAUUUUCAUGUUAAAUACUCCAUUUCUUUUAACCAAAGUGGGUAGUUCAUAGAGCCCAAUUAAUUUUAAUAAUUUAUGUUAUUUAAUUUUACUAAUUUAAUUUAAUAUAAACAACUAUUAGAAUCAUCUUCUGCUAUGGUUUGAACAUAUCCUAUCUAAAAUGUAGUUGUUGCUAAUAUAAUGAUAUUAAUGUGUGGGCCCUUUAAGAGGGAUUAGACCAUGAUGACUUCUUUCACAUGAAUGGGAUUAAGGCCCUUAUAAAAGAGGCUUUACACAGUGUUUGACUUUCUUACCCUUCCACCAUCUUCCUUAUGAGGGCACAAUGUUGCUUCCCGCUGGAAGACACAGCAAUAAGGCACUAUUGUGGAAGCUCAGAAAGCAACUCAUCACCCAGCCUCACCAGCCAGCAUCUUGAUUUUGGAGAACGUUGACCCAAAGUCUUAUUUCCAAGGGGAGAGAUGCUUUCACCAGGAGAUUCAACAAUGAUUUCACUGAACUGGACAUUAAGGCUGCUGUCCAGGUGCUUUGAAGUCCUUAUGCCUCUGAAUCAAGAGGGAGAAAAGGCGGUUACUCUGCUGGCUGGAGCGAGUGAUCCUGAAUACCAAGGGAAAAUUGGAUGACUACUCCACAAUAAGGAAGAAUACAGCAGAUCCCUUACACCAUCUCUUAGUAUUACUAUGUCCCCUGUGAUUAAGGUCAGUGGAAAAUUAAAAGAACCCAUUCCAGUCAGAACUAAUAGUCCAGACUCUUCAGGAAUGAGAGCUUGUGUCACUCCACCAAGCAGAAAAUACAACCAGCUAAGGUGCUUGCUGAAGGUAAAGGGAACACAAAACAGGAGGUGCAAAAAAGUAGUUAUAAAUACCAGCCAUGACAACAUGACCAGCUACAGAAAUGAAGACUAUAAUUGUUACAAUCUUCAAGGAAUGAGAAACUCCAGUCACACAGGGAUCUAAGGAGACAACAUGUUGAUGAAAUGCUACUGCCUUUUCCUCAAAUCAAAAUCCCAUUCAAAGGAAAAACACCCUUUUGUCAUUGAAAUACAGUGAUCAUGUGAUUUGCAGAUGUGUUAGAGUCUUUUGGCUAAAUUCUGGAAAAUUUGUAAAAACUCACUAAAUCAUACACUUGUAUAUGUAGAAAAGUUGUAAUUAUACCUUCAUAAAAUCAAUAAACUCACAUACCUCUCUCCAUGUGGUUUCUCAAAUGUGUAGUUCUCAAAUGUGUAAUUCUCAAAUGAAUUAUCAUUUGAGAAGGCAUUACAUUCAAAUUCAGACUCCCAAAGUCAUUCAGACUCCCGGAUUAUCCUGCAUAAAUGCUCAAAAUUGUUUCCCAGCUGGGCAGAGUUGAGCUCAAGACAAAAAUUAAAAAGGUUAUUACCAAAAUACUUGACCUAACUGUAUAUUGGAAUAUUUAGUCAAAUAUUGGGGUAACAAUCAAAAAAGCAUGUAUAAUUGACUUCAACAUUUGGACAAUAAAUUUUUUAAAGUGGAUAAAAAUGCAUGACAUGGAAGGAGCAGCCCAAAAGGAAGAUGCUCAGAUAAACCCACAUAGUAUAUGUAAGAUUACCUGUGUUGAAGAAAUUUUCAAGAUGGUGAUUGUGACAAUGUGGACAGACUGUGCAUUUCAUUGUCUCUAUUUUCUCUUGCUUUUUUAUUUUUAUUUUUAAGAGGUUCUUCUUUCUCUCUGGUGAAUUCUCACUUAUUCUUCACAAGAACUUAAAUUUCAUUGUAUCUAUGAAGGUCAACUCUUAUAGAAUGUUUGUCUCCUCUAGCUCCUUAG